Molecule: ribosomal RNA, 520 nt
Filed under: uncultured bacterium
Lineage: Bacteria
Description: bacterial SSU rRNA
Rfam family: Bacterial small subunit ribosomal RNA
Source: RNAcentral
AGUGGGGAAUAUUGCGCGAUGGGGGCAACCCUGACGCAGCAACGCCGCGUGAAUGAAGAAGGUCUUCGGAUCGUAAAGUUCUGUCGAAGGGGAAGAAAUAAAUGACGGUACCCUUAGAGGAAGCCCCGGCUAACUACGUGCCAGCAGCCGCGGUAAUACGUAGGGGGCAAGCGUUGUCCGGAUUUACUGGGCGUAAAGGGCGUGUAGGCGGUUUUUUAAGUCAGAUGUGAAAGUUCGGGGCUCAACCCCGGAAUUGCAUUUGAAACUGGAGAACUUGAGUACUGGAGAGGUAAGUGGAAUUCCUAGUGUAGCGGUGAAAUGCGUAGAUAUUAGGAGGAACACCAGUGGCGAAGGCGACUUACUGGACAGAUACUGACGCUGAGGCGCGAAAGCGUGGGGAGCGAACAGGAUUAGAUACCCUGGUAGUCCACGCCGUAAACGAUGAGUGCUAGGUGUUGGGGCAACUCAGUGCCGUAGUUAACACAAUAAGCACUCCGCCUGGGGAGUACGAUCGCAAGAU